CUUUCAACAACGGAUCUCUUGGCUCUCGCAUCGAUGAAGAACGUAGCGAAGUGCGAUAAGUAGUGUGAAUUGCAGAAUUCCGUGAAUCAUCGAAUCUUUGAACGCAAAUUGCACUCCCUGGCACCCCGGGGAGUAUGCCUGUUUGAGGGUCAGU
Molecule: ribosomal RNA, 154 nt
Filed under: uncultured Glomus
Lineage: Eukaryota; Fungi; Glomeromycota; Glomeromycetes; Glomerales; Glomeraceae
Description: 5.8S ribosomal RNA
Rfam family: 5.8S ribosomal RNA
About the family: 5.8S ribosomal RNA (5.8S rRNA) is a component of the large subunit of the eukaryotic ribosome.
Source: RNAcentral